CCGUCAACUGCACAACAAAUAUAUCUAAGUAUUGCAAUAUAAAUUAAUACAAAAGCAAGAUAAAGUAUUCAAAUAUUUAUAAGUCUUACAACCAAGGAGUUCCUACUUUUAUUUUCUGUUGUAAAUCAUCUUUUUGGAUAUUUAUCUGUACAUUUUUUUUUUGUGAAGAAAAAUUGGCUCAACAUUGCAAAUCAUUGACAAAGUUGGGUUGCCCACAAAAACAUUCAAAAUGUAGUUAUGUUCGACAAAGAGAAUAAAAUUCGAAUUUGCAACUUUUUUCUAGAUGAGUCUAUAGUACUUUUCUUGGGAGCAAAUGUUGAGAAAGCAUCAAAUGCCGAGGAGGAGAAACAGAAAGCUCCAGCUAAAAAAAGAAAACGGGUUGAUGAUGAAAACCUGAAGAAGAUGAUCUUGUAGAGAUACAAAAGUUAUGGCAUAGUGGCGGUUUUGGUGUGUGGAACUCAUUACUUUUGGAUAUUAUCUUCUUUUAAUUGUGCUUCAUUAAUAUUGUUCUUGGGAUUAUAACAAUAAAAAAUAUAUUGCUAUUGGUAUUUGUAGUUGUAGAAAACAUAGCUAAAGACGAAAUAGAGAAGCAAAAGCCAUUGCUAUAAAAAGAGACCUAUUGGGUUUCUUAGCUUUGUUUAACAAGGCCGUAGGGCAUGAUCCUUGCUUCUGUAAUCUCUCUGGUGAUAUCAAGAUGCUUAGGAGCUUGUUACUCAACUGGAAAGUGAUACUGUGAGGUAUAUAUUAUCUUUUGUGUGUGCCUUUAGUUUCUUUUAUAACAUUGACGAGAGUUUGAAUUUUUGAAAUGAACAAAACGAAAAAAAUCAAUAUAGGGCCAAUGAUAGCACUGCUGAGCCGGCUAAGUAUAGGCUUGGCCGUUUAGAAAGAAUAAUGCGGAAUUGGACCGUCUUGUGGUGGGAGAUAUGGUGAAGGGGCUCUAUCUCUAAUCACUAUGGCACCGGGCUCUCUAGGCACCAUGCCACCUGUCGAUCUAAACCGACCCCUACACUUUUUUGUUUUUUGGGAGCAUUAUCAAUAUUGUUACCCGUAUUAUCACCUGUCAUCUGCACAAUAAAUAUAUUUAAGUAUUGCAAUAUAAAUUAAUACAAAAGCAAGAUAAAGUGUUCAAAUAUUUAUAAGUUUUACAAUCAAGGAGUUCCAACUUUUAUUUUCCAUUGUAAAUCUUCUUUUUGGAAAUUGAUCUGCACAUUUUUUUUGUGAGUACAAAUUGGCUCAACAUAGAAAAGCAUUAAUAAAGUUGGGUUGCCCACAACAAACAUUAAAAAUGGAGUUGUGUUCGACAAAGAGAAUAACAUUCGAAUUUGUAACUUUUUUCUUAAUGAGUCUGUAGGUGUGUUUACUUACCUUAUUACUCUCAUACAUAUUUUUUUGUUUACGUUUUUCCUCAAUGGUUAUCUACUAUUUUUUUGCUUCUUUAAUACUUUUCUUGGGAGCAGUUGUUGAGAAAGCAUCAGAUGCCCAGAAGGAGAAACAGAAAGCUCUAGCUAGAAAAAGAAAACGGGUUGUUGGUAUGCAUAGAUUAUAUUGUUUUCGUUGUGCUUCUUUUAAUAUUUUUAUGUGAAUUGUAGAUGAAAAUCUGAAGAAGAUGCUCCUGUAGAGAUACAAAAUGUAUGGCACGGCGUUCCAGCUAUAAAAUGAUGACGGGCUAAUGCUAUGCAUAGAUUAUAUUCUUUUUUGCUAUGCUUUUUUAAAAAAAUUCUUGCUUACUCAAUAUUUUUCAUGUGAAUUGUAGAUGAAAAACUUGAAGAAGAUGAUCUUGUAGAGAUACAAAAUUUAUGGCAUGCUGGGGGUAUUGGUAUGUGGAAUCCAUUAUUUUUGCAUAUUAUCUUCUUUUAGUUGUGCUUCAUCAAUAUUGUUCUUGGAAUUAUAACAAUCAAAAACAUAUUGUUCUUGGGAAUUGUAGUUGUGGAAAACAUAUUGUCUUUGGGAAUUGUAGUUGUGGAAAACAUAGCUAAAGACGAAGUAGAGAAGUAAGUCAUUGCUAUAAAAAGAACAUAUUGGGUUUCUUAUCUUUGUUUAACACCAUAAGAAUUUACAUAAGGAGUGGAAUACAUUCAAAUACUUGAGAAAAUUGGUCAUGAAAGCCAAAAUUUGAAGAAAAGUGGCUAAAAGAGCAAAGGAAAAAUCCAAGCGGGCCACGUAGUUACCCACGUAGCCACCCACACAUUUGAGGAGAAGAAAAAUGAGGUUCUGAAAGUACGCAUGUAGAUUACGUGGCCACGCAGCUGAGCCAUGUACCUCACCCACGUAGCUGAACGUGAGGGGUGUUUUUGUCACAUUUUUGCAUGACUUUAAACAUAUUUUAGGGCACUUUCUUAUAUUAUCUUUGUACCUUUGAGCAAAGAAGAGCCUCCAUAGAUACAUUUGGCAAGUUUUGAAGGAUUUCACCAUAGAUUAUCAAUUGUCUUCCUUAAUUACUUUUUUAUUAUGUAUUUAUUUUCCUUUUAUCUUGUAUUUUCCAUUUCUAGUAUGAAUGGCUAAACCCCAUAGUCGGGGUUGUAAAUUCUUAUGGUGUUAAU
Lycium barbarum (goji berry) is the source of this 2540-nucleotide long non-coding RNA. RefSeq lists it as uncharacterized. The transcript has 3 exons. The record is from RefSeq and is a predicted model, not a curated record. Lineage: Eukaryota; Viridiplantae; Streptophyta; Magnoliopsida; Solanales; Solanaceae.